GCUUGGUCUUCUUGUGGCCUAUUUAGAGAUGCACUGAGCCCACAGGAACACAACACUGUACAGGUGGAGCACCUCAGGAGGCUCCCCCCUCACACAGGCAGCCUUUGAAGAUGAUUUUGGAGUAAAGUCUGAAUAGAUACGGAGAGACGGUGGCGAUCCGGAGCGCUCUGCUUUUCCAUUUCAUCCCAGGUGAAUCCGUGGGUUAAUAAGCGGUGGCGAAUCGAUAAUCCAAUCGAAGGUGGUCAAGUAAAACAAGAUCUGCUCCAGUUGGGAUGCAGCUGAGGUCGCCAGCCUUUUAACGGAGGAGGCCCAGUCCAGGAAGCAAAGCCUCAGGCUCAGCCAUGUCAGAGAAGAUGGUGCUGGAGGAAGGAGAGAGGGGAGAUGCGAGAGGAGAGAGGAGCUAAGGUUAUCUCUGUCACUUCAUUUCCAAGAUGGCGUAGCAGUCAGACAUCUUUGUCUUUGUCCUGUUGUGUCCCUUGUAUAUAUCUUUUUUUAGCCUACCUGGUUAAAUAAAGGUGAAAUAAAAAACUGUCACGAUCGUCAUAAGAACUGGACCAAGGCGCAGCGUACGUAGCGUUCCACAUCUUUAUUAUAAAGAGAAACUUCAGCAAAUACAAAACAACAAACGAACAAACGAAACGUGAAGCAAGUGAAGUGCUCACAGGCAACUACACAAAAACCAAAACAAGAUCCCACAAAACACAUUAGGGAAAUGGCUGCCUAAAUAUGAUCCCCAAUCAGAGACAACGAUAAACAGCUGCCUCUGAUUGGGAACCAUACCAGGCCAACAUAGAAAUAGAACAACCUAGAUUACCCACCCUAGUCACACCCCGACCAAACCAACAUAGAGAAUAAAAGGCUCUCUAUGGUCAGGGCGUGACAGUACCGCCCCAAAGGUGCGGACUCCGGCCGCAAAACCUGACUCAAUAGGGGAGGGUCCGGGUGGGCAUCUAGCGUUGGUGGCGGCUCCGGUGCAGGUCGUAACCCCCGCCCAGACCCCG
RNAcentral lists this long non-coding RNA (1001 nucleotides) under Salmo salar (Atlantic salmon). RNAcentral describes it as "lncRNA (ENSSSAG00000118977.1)". Lineage: Eukaryota; Metazoa; Chordata; Actinopteri; Salmoniformes; Salmonidae. The record is from RNAcentral.